CACCAGGCGCGAAAACUUUACAAUGCCGGCAACGGCGAUAAGGGAACCUCGAGUGCCAGGUUACAAAUCUGGCUGUCGUGAUGCCUAAAAAGCAUUGCAUAGCAAGGGCCGGGCAAGACCGGUGCCAGCCGCCGCGGUAACACCGGCGGCUCGAGUGGUAACCGUUAUUAUUGGGUCUAAAGGGUCUGUAGCCGGCCGGAUAAGUCUCUUGGGAAAUCUGGCAGCUUAACUGUCAGGCUUUCAGGAGAUACUGUCUGGCUCGAGGCCGGGAGAGGUGAGAGGUACUUCAGGGGUAGGGGUGAAAUCUUGUAAUCCUUGAAGGACCACCAGUGGCGAAGGCGUCUCACCAGAACGGACCUGACGGCAAGGGACGAAAGCUAGGGGCACGAACCGGAUUAGAUACCCGGGUAGUCCUAGCCGUAAACGAUACUCGCUAGGUGUCGGCCACGGUGCGACCGUGGUCGGUGCCGUAGGGAAGCCGUGAAGCGAGCCACCUGGGAAGUACGGCCGCAAGGCUGAAACUUAAAGGAAUUGGCGGGGGAGCACAAGGGCGAUUCGC
RNAcentral lists this ribosomal RNA (559 nucleotides) under uncultured archaeon. RNAcentral describes it as "bacterial SSU rRNA". It matches the Rfam family "Archaeal small subunit ribosomal RNA", at positions 333 to 894 of the family's 1478-position model. The record is from RNAcentral.